GCAUACUGCGUGGAUGAACGUAUGAAAGAAGAUUUUAGUAAUUGAACUGUAAUCUCGUAAAAUGCAAAUUAAGCUAUGAUCGCAGCCCCUCGACAUGGGACCGUCAAGGAGAACAUGAAUCGUUGUGAAACAAGUCAACGGAUGGUGUCACGUGUGAAUGAUGGACUGUCGUUAAUUUGAAACGUGUAUUUCUCAACAAACCAUGAGAUUUUAAAAAGAAAAGGUACUUUAGAGUACCUCAUGUAUACGUUGAACACAACAUCAUCAGCAGCAGCAACAUCAUCACCACUAAUGCAGUUGGCUAUACUCGAAACAUGGUCUCGUGUUAACACUCGCACGAUGCUCGACCAAGGAGACUAGAGCAACGACUGCACCAAGUUUCGCAAACAAUAAUUAAGGAAUCUGUUUGUAUGUCUCCUUUUUUCAAUGAAAGUGAUUAAAAAAUGGAAUCUGUUUGUCUCAGUUAUGAUGCUGUGGUUUGAUUAAAUUAGUUAUUUGUGAGUAUCAGUAGUAAUCCACAAAUUUUAAAAGAAAUACAAGGGCUAAGACCCCAAAAAUCUGGUAUAAUUGCCAAACUUUGAAAAGUUAGUAUACAAAUUGAAUAAAAUGUAUCUAUCUAGUAAUCUUACAAAAUAAAAAA
Molecule: long non-coding RNA, 640 nt
Organism: Brassica rapa (field mustard)
Lineage: Eukaryota; Viridiplantae; Streptophyta; Magnoliopsida; Brassicales; Brassicaceae
Source: RefSeq, a predicted model, not a curated record